AGAGUUUGAUCCUGGCUCAGAUUGAACGCUGGCGGCAUGCCUUACACAUGCAAGUCGAACGGCAGCACGAGAGCUUGCUCUUGGUGGCGAGUGGCGAACGGGUGAGUAAUAUAUCGGAACGUACCCUAGAGUGGGGGAUAACGUAGCGAAAGUUACGCUAAUACCGCAUACGAUCUACGGAUGAAAGUGGGGGAUCGCAAGACCUCAUGCUCAUGGAGCGGCCGAUAUCUGAUUAGCUAGUUGGUGGGGUAAAAGCUCACCAAGGCGACGAUCAGUAGCUGGUCUGAGAGGACGACCAGCCACACUGGAACUGAGACACGGUCCAGACUCCUACGGGAGGCAGCAGUGGGGAAUUUUGGACAAUGGGCGCAAGCCUGAUCCAGCAAUGCCGCGUGAGUGAAGAAGGCCUUCGGGUUGUAAAGCUCUUUUGUCAGGGAAGAAACGGUGGACUCUAAUACAGAUCACUAAUGACGGUACCUGAAGAAUAAGCACCGGCUAACUACGUGCCAGCAGCCGCGGUAAUACGUAGGGUGCAAGCGUUAAUCGGAAUUACUGGGCGUAAAGCGUGCGCAGGCGGUUGUGCAAGACAGAUGUGAAAUCCCCGGGCUCAACCUGGGAAUUGCAUUUGUGACUGCACGGCUAGAGUGUGUCAGAGGGGGGUAGAAUUCCACGUGUAGCAGUGAAAUGCGUAGAGAUGUGGAGGAAUACCGAUGGCGAAGGCAGCCCCCUGGGAUAACACUGACGCUCAUGCACGAAAGCGUGGGGAGCAAACAGGAUUAGAUACCCUGGUAGUCCACGCCCUAAACGAUGUCUACUAGUUGUCGGGUCUUAAUUGACUUGGUAACGCAGCUAACGCGUGAAGUAGACCGCCUGGGGAGUACGGUCGCAAGAUUAAAACUCAAAGGAAUUGACGGGGACCCGCACAAGCGGUGGAUGAUGUGGAUUAAUUCGAUGCAACGCGAAAAACCUUACCUACCCUUGACAUGUCUGGAAUCCUUGAGAGAUCAGGGAGUGCUCGAAAGAGAAUCAGAACACAGGUGCUGCAUGGCUGUCGUCAGCUCGUGUCGUGAGAUGUUGGGUUAAGUCCCGCAACGAGCGCAACCCUUGUCAUUAGUUGCUACGAAAGGGCACUCUAAUGAGACUGCCGGUGACAAACCGGAGGAAGGUGGGGAUGACGUCAAGUCCUCAUGGCCCUUAUGGGUAGGGCUUCACACGUCAUACAAUGGUACAUACAGAGGGCCGCCAACCCGCGAGGGGGAGCUAAUCCCAGAAAGUGUAUCGUAGUCCGGAUUGUAGUCUGCAACUCGACUACAUGAAGUUGGAAUCGCUAGUAAUCGCGGAUCAGCAUGUCGCGGUGAAUACGUUCCCGGGUCUUGUACACACCGCCCGUCACACCAUGGGGGCGGGUUUCACCAGAAGUGGGUAGCCUAACCGCAAGGAGGGCGCUCACCACGGUGGGAUUCGUGACUGGGGUGAAGUCGUAACAAGGUA
Molecule: ribosomal RNA, 1491 nt
Filed under: metagenome
Description: bacterial SSU rRNA
Rfam family: Bacterial small subunit ribosomal RNA
Source: RNAcentral